AUUGAACGCAGGCGGCAGGCUUAACACAUGCAAGUCGAGCGGGGGGAGGUAGCUUGCUACCGGACCUAGCGGCGGACGGGUGAGUAAUGCUUAGGAAUCUGCCUAUUAGUGGGGGACAACAUCUCGAAAGGGAUGCUAAUACCGCAUACGUCCUACGGGAUAAAGCAGGGGAUCUUCGGACCUUGCGCUAAUAGAUGAGCCUAAGUCGGAUUAGCUAGUUGGUGGGGUAAAGGCCUACCAAGGCGACGGUCUGUAGCGGGUCUGAGAGGAUGAUCCGCCACACUGGGACUGAGACACGGCCCAGACUCCUACGGGAGGCAGCAGUGGGGAAUAUUGGACAAUGGGGGGAACCCUGAUCCAGACAUGCCGCGUGUGUGAAGAAGGCCUUAUGGUUGUAAAGCACUUUAAGCGAGGAGGAGGCUACUUUAGUUAAUACCUAGAGAUAGUGGACGUUACUCGCAGAAUAAGCACCGGCUAACUCUGUGCCAGCCGCCGCCGUAA
This 501-nucleotide ribosomal RNA is filed under the name uncultured bacterium. Its description in RNAcentral is "partial 16S ribosomal RNA". It matches the Rfam family "Bacterial small subunit ribosomal RNA", at positions 30 to 523 of the family's 1533-position model. The record is from RNAcentral.